ACGCAGUCUGUGAGGCACAGGUACAGGAAACCAGCCCGAUGUAAUUAAUUCCCUCCACCAUCACCUACCUGUGCAGUCCCCUACUUGCACGCAAGCACUCCAUAUCCAGAUCUGAAAAACUAUUCUCCUCUCGCCAGCUGCUAGUGAUUGACGCACAAACAAAUUCCUCACAGUAGAAGUGGAUUUCAGAUUUGGUAGUAGUCCUUUGAGGCCGCUGAUUAUCAAUAAUCUUGAACUGCUGUCCUUCUUCGGCGGAAGGAGAUGAGCAGUUCAGUAGAUCGGCUGGUGCAGCGACCACCCUGCGUCGAAUCCGUAUCGAAUCAAGAUAUAAGAGCCGAUGAGUGCGCAGUCGGGAUAGCUCAGAUGACCGUCAAAAAGGGGCGCCAGCUUUGGACAGUUGCUGAAGCGGACGAGCUCGAUUCUUCUAAUGGCUGGGUUCGACAGUUCUAGAUGCAGAGCAUGGGUCGAAAUCAAGGACUCCAAAUCUUAUUGCUGUGGAAAGGAAAACAGCGGCUGGGUUCGACGGCACCAGUUUAGUACACGUUGGGACAAGGAUUUGGAGAGACCGACCCCAUGUGUCAACUAUGUUCAACGAAAUGUGGAGCGUGGUUUUAAAUGGAGAUUCUUGGUAUGGCGUGUGCGGACGUAAGUCAGUAGGAGAGAAACAAGGUGACGAGGUUAACAGCUUCCCAUGCAACGAAAGCGUGAAAUGAUGUCAUUGAAUCUCACAAUUAGCCUGUUGCAAUUCAAGAUCAGAGAAGUGAUACUAUGUAUCUUCGUAAUGAAUGAAUAAAAAGAA
Molecule: long non-coding RNA, 799 nt
Organism: Triticum aestivum (bread wheat)
Lineage: Eukaryota; Viridiplantae; Streptophyta; Magnoliopsida; Poales; Poaceae
Exons: 3
Source: RefSeq, a predicted model, not a curated record